This 253-nucleotide ribosomal RNA is filed under the name uncultured bacterium. RNAcentral describes it as "partial 16S ribosomal RNA". It matches the Rfam family "Bacterial small subunit ribosomal RNA", at positions 524 to 776 of the family's 1533-position model. The record is from RNAcentral.
UACGUAGGUGGCAAGCGUUGUCCGGAUUUACUGGGCGUAAAGAGCGCGCAGGCGGUCGUUCAAGUCGAGUGUGGAAGCCCCCGGCUCAACUGGGGAGGGUCACUCGAUACUGAUCGACUCGAAGGCAGAAGAGGGAAGCGGAAUUCCCGGUGUAGUGGUGAAAUGCGUAGAUAUCGGGAGGAACACCGAUGGCGAAGGCAGCCCCCUGGGCUGACACUGACGCUCAGGCACGAAAGCGUGGGUAGCAAACAGG